RNAcentral lists this ribosomal RNA (726 nucleotides) under uncultured bacterium. RNAcentral describes it as "bacterial SSU rRNA". It matches the Rfam family "Bacterial small subunit ribosomal RNA", at positions 789 to 1515 of the family's 1533-position model. The record is from RNAcentral.
GGGAGUCCACGCCGUAAACGAUGUCGACUUGGAGGUUGUGCCCUUGAGGCGUGGCUUCCGGAGCUAACGCGUUAAGUCGACCGCCUGGGGAGUACGGCCGCAAGGUUAAAACUCAAAUGAAUUGACGGGGGCCCGCACAAGCGGUGGAGCAUGUGGUUUAAUUCGAUGCAACGCGAAGAACCUUACCUACUCUUGACGUCCAGAGAACUUAGCAGAGAUGCUUUGGUGCCUUCGGGAACUCUGAGACAGGUGCUGCAUGGCUGUCGUCAGCUCGUGUUGUGAAAUGUUGGGUUAAGUCCCGCAACGAGCGCAACCCUUAUCCUUUGUUGCCAGCGGUUAGGCCGGGAACUCAAAGGAGACUGCCAGUGAUAAACUGGAGGAAGGUGGGGAUGACGUCAAGUCAUCAUGGCCCUUACGAGUAGGGCUACACACGUGCUACAAUGGCGCAUACAAAGAGAAGCGACCUCGCGAGAGCAAGCGGACCUCAUAAAGUGCGUCGUAGUCCGGAUUGGAGUCUGCAACUCGACUCCAUGAAGUCGGAAUCGCUAGUAAUCGUAGAUCAGAAUGCUACGGUGAAUACGUUCCCGGGCCUUGUACACACCGCCCGUCACACCAUGGGAGUGGGUUGCAAAAGAAGUAGGUAGCUUAACCUUCGGGAGGGCGCUUACCACUUUGUGAUUCAUGACUGGGGUGAAGUCGUAACAAGGUAACCGUAGGGGAACCUGC